AAUCGUAAAAAGGAGCUGUCUUCAAAGCUAAAAAGAAGAAAAUUGAGAGACAAUAGACACUUGGCUCUUCCUCAGUGCUCUAAAUUCUCGAAGAAGAAAGGACUAAGAAACAGCCGAAAAAGCUGCAGCCACCAUAAUUGCAGAGAAAAAUUUAUAAAAGGGAUAUUUUCGAAAUGGGGACUCAUCUCAACUUCAAGAACUUCCACAACAAUCCUACGUCGGACGCCGGUGUGGGAGGGGGUAGCGGCAGCCGACCUUCGGGGAACUUCCCAUUGGCCAGACAGCCAUCGGUCUACUCGUUGACCUUCGAUGAAUUUCAGAGUACUAUGGGGGGGAUAGGAAAGGAAUUUGGGUCAAUGAACAUGGAUGAGCUGCUCAAGAAUAUAUGGAGUGCCGAGGAAACACAGAACGUGGUAGCCUCCUCUACAGGUGCCCAAGAGGGUCUGCAGCGCCAAGGCUCUUUGACCCUCCCGCGAACCCUCAGUCAAAAGACUGUCGAUGAGGUGUGGAAAGACAUGUCGAAGGAAUAUGGGAAUGGAGGUGGUACUGGAGGAGCUAAUUUGCCUCAGAGGCAGCAGACUUUAGGGGAGAUCACUUUAGAGGAAUUUUUGGUCAAAGCGGGGGUGGUGAGAGAAGACGCUCAAUUAGCUGCAAAGCUUAAUGCUAAUGGUGGUUUUUUUGGUGAUUUAUCGAGGACAGGGAAUAGUUCUACUUUAGGAGUUGGGUUACAGCAGAAUAGGGGUCUGGGAUUGGACAAUAAUAAUACUAAUCAGAUUUCUAUGCGUUCCACGAAUUUGCCUUUGAAUGUUAAUGGGGUCAGGUCAAACCAGGCACAGGUACAUCAGCAACAUCAGCAACAGCAGCAACAACAACAACAACAGCAACAGCUAUUUCCUAAGCAGCCUAAUUUGGGAUAUGUUACGCAGAUGCCUUUGCAAACUAGUCCAGGAAUUAGGGGUGGAAUCAUGGGGAUUGGGGAUCAAGGGAUCAGUGGUUUGAUGCAGGCUGGUGCUUUGGGAAUGGUUGGAUUAGGUGUCGCAACGGAAUCACCUGCAAACAAGCUGUCGUCAAAUGGGAUUACAAAGAGUAAUGGGGAUACGUCUUCAGUGUCCCCAGUUCCUUAUGUCUUCAAUGGAGGUUUAAGGGGAAGGAGAGCCAAUGGUGCUGUGGAGAAGGUGGUUGAGAGGAGACAGAGAAGAAUGAUUAAGAACAGAGAGUCAGCUGCAAGGUCACGGGCUCGCAAGCAGCCUUUCUGCAUGCCACACGUUCAUGAAAGAUUAUGCGGCAGAAUGGUAAUGUCAUAGCGAUCUGACAUGAGAAGAGAUGAAAGGUUUUGAGAAGUCGAGGUCAUGAGAAGUUAUAAGGAUCAGGUUUGUUACAAGGCUUAUACUAUGGAGUUGGAAGCAGAAGUUGCAAAGAUAAAAGAGGAGAACCGAGAAUUGCAAAAGAAACAGGCAGAAAUCAUGGAAAUGCAGAAAAAUCAGGUAUUGGAGAUGAUGAACGAGCAGCAGGGAGUUAAAAGGCGGUGCUUGAGGAGGACUCAGACUGGUCCAUGGUAAAGUGCAAGAACAGCAUUGUUAUUAUACAGUUGAAAGUUUCAUAUGGUAGGUGGCUGUACAUAUUUGGGAAACGUCUCACUUUGCGUAGAUUAAGAAGGUGCUGAGUUUUACAGUAGAAGAAAUGAGAGUUUUUGCUGGUUUAGAUUAAAUAUUGCAACAUAUAUUGUCUGUUAAAUCUGCUUCUCUUCUGAACUUCUUGGUUUAGAUAUAGCAGAGUGGAAGAGAAGUAAAUGCAUUUUCUAGUCUGUUAGUAAUUUCAUAUAUGUUUGAACA
This is an RNA transcript of Manihot esculenta (cassava), 1832 nucleotides long. It is a transcript of the gene named ABSCISIC ACID-INSENSITIVE 5-like protein 5, with no coding region annotated. The record is from RefSeq and is a predicted model, not a curated record. The transcript has 6 exons. Lineage: Eukaryota; Viridiplantae; Streptophyta; Magnoliopsida; Malpighiales; Euphorbiaceae.